GGAAGUAAAAGUCGUAACAAGGUUUCCGUAGGUGAACCUGCGGAAGGAUCAUUACUGAUUUAGCGAACCGAGCGUUAGCGAGGUUUUGCGAUCAACUUGUAUUUAAAACCCACUCUUCAAUGUAUAAAAUUUGUAUUAAUGAUAAAUUAAAAGAUCACUUUCAACAACGGAUCUCUUGGCUCUCGCAUCGACGAAGAACGUAGCGAAGUGCGAUAAGUAAUGUGAAUUGCAGUAUUCCGUGAAUCAUCGAACCUUUGAACGCAUAUUGCACUUUCUGGUAUUCCGGAAAGUAUGCCUGUUUGAGGGUCAGUUAAAUAAAAAUCGGUGUUGUUGCCGCUUUCCGUGGUGACGCGUCGGAAUUGAGUCGUCUUCGGUUAAGUGACUUAAAAUUUUAUAUGAUUUUCGAACGUAUUUAAAUUUAUUUGAACGUUUGAUAUCGAAUGCUUAUUAGGUUCGGUCAUCCUCAUGACUCGCGCCUAUAAUUUUUCAUUAAAUGACCUCAAAUCAGGUAAGAAUACCCGCUGAACUUAAGCAUAUCAAUAAGCGGAGGA
This 551-nucleotide ribosomal RNA is filed under the name uncultured Glomus. RNAcentral's name for it is "eukaryotic LSU rRNA". The stretch from base 156 to 309 matches the Rfam family "5.8S ribosomal RNA". The record is from RNAcentral. Lineage: Eukaryota; Fungi; Glomeromycota; Glomeromycetes; Glomerales; Glomeraceae.